AGAGUUUGAUCCUGGCUCAGAACGAACGCUGGCGGCAGGCUUAACACAUGCAAGUCGAACGCACCGCAAGGUGAGUGGCAGACGGGUGAGUAACGCGUGGGAACGUGCCCUUCAGUUCGGGAUAACCCAGGGAAACUUGGGCUAAUACCGGAUACGUGCGAGAGCAGAAAGAUUCAUCGCUGAAGGAUCGGCCCGCGUCUGAUUAGCUAGUUGGUAGGGUAAUGGCCUACCAAGGCGACGAUCAGUAGCUGGUCUGAGAGGAUGAUCAGCCACAUUGGGACUGAGACACGGCCCAAACUCCUACGGGAGGCAGCAGUGGGGAAUAUUGGACAAUGGGCGCAAGCCUGAUCCAGCCAUGCCGCGUGAGUGAUGAAGGCCUUAGGGUUGUAAAGCUCUUUCGUCCGGGACGAUAAUGACGGUACCGGAAGAAGAAGCCCCGGCUAACUUCGUGCCAGCAGCCGCGGUAAUACGAAGGGGGCUAGCGUUGUUCGGAAUCACUGGGCGUAAAGGGCGCGUAGGCGGCCUGAUAAGUCGGGGGUGAAAGCCUGUGGCUCAACCACAGAAUUGCCUCCGAUACUGUCGGGCUUGAGACCGGAAGAGGUAAGUGGAACUGCGAGUGUAGAGGUGAAAUUCGUAGAUAUUCGCAAGAACACCAGUGGCGAAGGCGGCUUACUGGUCCGGUUCUGACGCUGAGGCGCGAAAGCGUGGGGAGCAAACAGGAUUAGAUACCCCCGUAGUCC
Molecule: ribosomal RNA, 740 nt
Filed under: uncultured Hyphomicrobiales bacterium
Lineage: Bacteria; Pseudomonadati; Pseudomonadota; Alphaproteobacteria; Hyphomicrobiales
Description: bacterial SSU rRNA
Rfam family: Bacterial small subunit ribosomal RNA
Source: RNAcentral